UGGCGGGCAUGCCUGUUCGAGCGUCAUUUCAACCACUCAGGCCCUGGUGCCGGGCGUCGGGGUUUCUUGCUUCGGUAAAAUCCCCUAGAAUCAGUGGCGGACCCGCCGCGGCUCCGAGCGUAGUAGUAAAAUAUCUCGCUAUGGAGGCCCGUGGAGGGAUUACCGGCCGUAAAACCUCUUCUUUACUGAAGAACUUCUCAAGGUUGACCUCGGAUCAGGUAGGAAUACCCGCUGAACUUAAGCAUAUCAAUAAGCGGAGGAAAAGAAACCAACAGGGAUUGCCCCAGUAACGGCGAGUGAAGCGGCAACAGCUCAGAUUUGAAAUCUGGUCCCCAGGGCCCGAGUUGUAAUCUGUAGAGGACGUUUCUGGCAAGGCGCCGUCCGAGUUCCCUGGAACGGGACGCCGGAGAGGGUGAGAGCCCCGUACCAGGCGGACGCCGAGCCUCUGAAUCUU
This 454-nucleotide ribosomal RNA is filed under the name Sordariomycetes sp. MU-c18_50no. 8. Its description in RNAcentral is "eukaryotic LSU rRNA". The stretch from base 205 to 454 matches the Rfam family "Eukaryotic large subunit ribosomal RNA", at positions 1 to 254 of the family's 3401-position model. The record is from RNAcentral. Lineage: Eukaryota; Fungi; Ascomycota; Sordariomycetes.